CAAGUUGCUUUUGAAGCAAGCCUCAAGUGGCCACAAGGGAAACUGCAGUCUUUGGGCACUUCUUCAUAUGGCUUGAUUUCUCCUGCCCUGAGUUUGCUGUUUGGAGGACAUCCUCUGUGCCAGUGUUACCCAGAGUGCACCCUUCUGAUCCCCCACUGGGCCUUGAGGGUACUGCAGGUGGGCCAAAAGAAGUCAAGGUCAAGGAGCUCUUCAGGAGAAAUGCUGCUGCUAAUGGAUGAAGAUGAUGAACUUGGUAAAAACUACCUGUGAAUGUAGAUGAUGUUAUCAUACAAAUGUGUCAGUAUAGUAAAGUCUACAACCUCUUUA
Long non-coding RNA from Notolabrus celidotus (New Zealand spotty), 327 nucleotides. RefSeq lists it as uncharacterized. The transcript has 2 exons. Lineage: Eukaryota; Metazoa; Chordata; Actinopteri; Labriformes; Labridae. The record is from RefSeq and is a predicted model, not a curated record.